RNAcentral lists this transfer RNA (72 nucleotides) under Cerion watlingense. Its description in RNAcentral is "tRNA-Trp". Lineage: Eukaryota; Metazoa; Mollusca; Gastropoda; Stylommatophora; Cerionidae. The record is from RNAcentral.
CAAGCUUAAUAGGAUAAGCAUUAUUCCGAUGGCCUUCAAAGUCAUAAGUAGAGUAAUUUCUCUUUAGCUUGG